UACGUAGGGUGCGAGCGUUGUCCGGAAUUACUGGGCGUAAAGGGCGCGUAGGUGGUGGCUUAAGCGUGCGGUGAAAGCUCGGGGCUCAACUCCGAGUCGGCCGUGCGAACUGGGCUCACUGGAGCAUAGUAGAGGCAGGUGGAAUUCCGGGUGUAGCGGUGGAAUGCGUAGAGAUCCGGAAGAACACCGGUGGCGAAGGCGGCCUGCUGGGCUAUGGCUGACACUGAGGUGCGACAGCGUGGGGAGCAAACAGG
RNAcentral lists this ribosomal RNA (254 nucleotides) under uncultured bacterium. RNAcentral's name for it is "partial 16S ribosomal RNA". It matches the Rfam family "Bacterial small subunit ribosomal RNA", at positions 524 to 776 of the family's 1533-position model. The record is from RNAcentral.